GACGAACGCUGGCGGCGUGCCUAAUACAUGCAAGUAGAACGCACGGUUUAUACCGUAGCUUGCUACACCAUAGACUGUGAGUUGCGAACGGGUGAGUAACGCGUAGGUAACCUGCCUGGUAGCGGGGGAUAACUAUUGGAAACGAUAGCUAAUACCGCAUAAUAUUAAUUAUUGCAUGAUAAUUAAUUGAAAGGUGCAAUUGCACCACUACCAGAUGGACCUGCGUUGUAUUAGCUAGUAGGUGAGGUAACGGCUCACCUAGGCGACGAUACAUAGCCGACCUGAGAGGGUGAUCGGCCACACUGGGACUGAGACACGGCCCAGACUCCUACGGGAGGCAGCAGUAGGGAAUCUUCGGCAAUGGACGAAAGUCUGACCGAGCAACGCCGCGUGAGUGAAGAAGGUUUUCGGAUCGUAAAGCUCUGUUGUAAGAGAAGAACGGGUGUGGGAGUGGAAAGUUCACACUGUGACGGUAUCUUACCAGAAAGGGACGGCUAACUACGUG
RNAcentral lists this ribosomal RNA (505 nucleotides) under uncultured bacterium. Its description in RNAcentral is "partial 16S ribosomal RNA". It matches the Rfam family "Bacterial small subunit ribosomal RNA", at positions 28 to 507 of the family's 1533-position model. The record is from RNAcentral.